AACGAACGCUGGCGGCAGGCUUAACACAUGCAAGUCGAACGCUCGUAGCAAUACGGGAGUGGCGGACGGGUGAGUAACGCGUGGGAACGUGCCCUGAGGUACGGAAUAACUGCGGGAAACUGCAGCUAAUACCGUAUGAGCCCUAACGGGGGAAAGAUUUAUCGCCUUGGGAGCGGCCCGCGUCGGAUUAGCUAGUUGGUGGGGUAACGGCCUACCAAGGCUUCGAUCCGUAGCUGGUCUGAGAGGACGAUCAGCCACACUGGGACUGAGACACGGCCCAGACUCCUACGGGAGGCAGCAGUGGGGAAUCUUGCGCAAUGGGGGCAACCCUGACGCAGCCAUGCCGCGUGAAUGAUGAAGGCCUUAGGGUUGUAAAGUUCUUUUGCCCGUGACGAUGAUGACGGUAACGGGAGAAUAAGCUCCGGCUAACUUCGUG
This 436-nucleotide ribosomal RNA is filed under the name uncultured bacterium. RNAcentral describes it as "bacterial SSU rRNA". It matches the Rfam family "Bacterial small subunit ribosomal RNA", at positions 29 to 507 of the family's 1533-position model. The record is from RNAcentral.